UCGGUUAAUUGAGUGGUUGCCACUGCCCCUUGCUGCUGGAACAUCAUGGUUGUGCUUCCCUUCAUAGGUUGUUAUCACUGACCUUAUGUCUUGUGAUGCCCUUUCCACAUGUUUUCUUACUGGACAUCCCGUACUUGUGCAUUUGUAGUAGCUCCUGUUUCAUAGUACCCCAAGAUUCAUUUUCGAUUUCCAAAUUAAGGAACUUCCAAACUUGUUAAAAAAUUUGAGCCAAAUUUAUGAUCAAAGAUAAGGUUAUUACCUGGGAUUAGGAUUUCCUUUCACUACUUUUUGACCAUACUUCCUCCAUCUAUAACCAUCAUCUAGGAUAUCGAUAUCACUUGUAGUUUGAACUACAACUCUAGGUUCUCUAACUGUCCUACUCCCUCCUAGUGCAGAUAGACCUUCACUUUCGUUUUCUCUUUUCCUGAAAACAAGAAAUUCAACAAAGUUAAAAAUGUUAACAUUAGUCAAAAAUUGGAUUCAAGAUUACUACAGUACAGACCUCUCUAUAACAACAUUUCACUAUAACAAUGAUGUUUCAUUUCAUGUGGAAGAGAUCAUUCAUGUUAUGUUAUAUUAUAUGUUCUUUAUAACAAACAUUUUACUAUAGCAAUCAAAAAAUAUCGGAACAAACGAUAACGAUGAUGUAAUAGAAAUAUUUGACUAUACAUGAUAUAUUAUUGUUUCACUUACCAUCUUUUUGAGUCUGGUUCCUCUUCAUCAAGAUCAUCUCCUCUUGACCUACUACUCUUUUGAGAAGUGUGCUCAUGAUCAUCAUCCCCAAAUGAAAUAGAAGAAUUCUCAGGUGUUGCAACCGAAUCCAUUUGUCCAUUUGAACCAUAGGAUUGAUGAUCUGGGAUUUCAUUAGUUUGUGUAUUGUAUGAUUGGAUUGCAGAUGAAGCUGUGGAUGACGACGAUCUUCUGGUUGACUGAGGCUUUGGAUGGUUGUGAUUACCCUUGUACACAAUUUCAGUAAUUUGACCAUCUAAAGAUCUCUCAACCUUCUUCUUGGUGGGACAAUUUGGGUAUGUACACUUGUAGUAGCUUCUUGGAUUUUCACUACCUUUUACUUGUUUCUGCCCGUAUUUCCUCCAAUUGUAUCCGUCAUCUGACCUUUUCUGCUCCCUUAUACUCUGAUUGUAUUGGUUUCCACUAUUGUUCUG
Molecule: long non-coding RNA, 1163 nt
Filed under: Solanum tuberosum (potato)
Lineage: Eukaryota; Viridiplantae; Streptophyta; Magnoliopsida; Solanales; Solanaceae
Description: long non-coding RNA (STUB_LNC006658)
Source: RNAcentral